GCUACUCUAGAAUGAGACUUGAUGAUUACACAUGGAACAGACUCAUUCACAACACAACUAAUUUAAGAGAUAUUUGUUUAUAUGGCAUGGACAUGUCUUUUAUCAGAGAGAGCUCUUUGUCAUUGUUGACCAAUUUGUCGUCCUCUUUGGUUUCUCUCCUUCUCUUAGACAAUAAAAUCCAAGGGAAAUUACCCGCCAACAUCCUCAAAUUGCCUAAUCUCCAAGAAAUAGAUCUGUCAUGGAAUCAAAACCUGAGAGGUGAACUUCCAAACUCCAACUGGACUACUCCAUUAAGAUUCUUGUCUCUCUCUCGAACUGCUUUCUCAGGAUACAUUUCAGAUUCCAUUGGUCAGUUGAAGUCUCUCAGCUCAUUAGAACUUUCGGAUUGUAAUUUUGAUGGAUUUAUUCCACCAUCAUUGUUUAAUCUUACUCAACUUUCUCUCUUAGAUUUAGCACGUAAUAACAAACUGCAAGGUAAUUUUCCAAAUUCAAUAUUUCAACUCCAAAAUCUUACUAUUUUGAGUUUGUCAUCAACGAACUUGAAUGGUGUAGUUGACUUUCACCAAUUUUCGAAGCUUAAAACUCUAAGUUCUUUGGAUCUUUCUUACAAUAGUUUGCUCUCACUAAAAUUUGAAAAUAAUUUUGAUUGUAUUUUAUCCAACCUUCAAUACUUAUCUUUAUCUUCAAGUAACUUAAGUAGUUUCCCAAAAUUCUUAGCACCACUGCAAAACCUGCAAGUUUUAGAUCUUUCUCAUAAUAGGAUUAGUGGAAGUAUUCCCAAAUGGUUGCAUGAGAACCUCUUGCACUCUUGGAAGAACAUUAGUUCCAUUGAUCUCAGUUUUAACAAGUUGCAAGGAGAUCUUCCGAUUCCACCUAAUGGCAUUGGAUUCUUUUCAGUCUCAAAUAAUCAGCUGAGUGGAGACAUUUCUUCAGCAUUGUGCAAUGCUAGCACCCUUUCUAUACUCAACUUGGCUCACAACAACUUGACCGGACUUAUUCCACAAUGCUUGGCAACAUUUCCUUCUCUUUGGGCGUUGGAUUUGCAAGACAACAACCUUUACGGUAACAUACCUGAUAACUUUUCUAAAGGAAAUGCCUUUAAGACUCUAAAGUUGAAUGGAAAUCACUUGAAGGGACCGUUACCACGGUCUUUGGCUCACUGUACAAACCUUGAAGUUUUGGACCUUGGAAAUAAUAACAUAGAGGAUACGUUCCCCUAUUGGUUAGAAAUUCUGACAACUUUACAGGUACUCAGUUUAAGGUCCAAUAAAUUUCAUGGUGUCAUCACUUCUUUCGGUACCAGAUUUCCAUUUCCCGUUUUGAAGAUUUUUGACAUUUCUAAUAAUUAUUUUAUCGGACCCUUGCCAGCGUCGUACAUCCAUAACUUUCAAGGAAUGAUGAAUGCCAUUGACAAUCAAAAUGGUUUGAAAUAUUUGGGUAAUAAUUACUCAUAUAUUGAUUCGAUAAUGAUUGUGAUGAAAGGACAUGACAUUGAGCUUGAGAGGAUAUUGACUAUUUUCACAAGCAUUGAUUUAUCAAAUAAUAUGUUUGAAGGAGAAGUACCCAAAGUUAUUGGAGAGUUGCAUUCUCUGAAAGGGCUUAACCUUUCACACAAUAGAAUCACUGGUACCAUUCCAUUAUCACUGGGUAAUUUAAACAAUUUGGAAUGGUUGGACCUCUCAUGGAAUCAAUUGAAUGGUGAGAUUCCCAUGUCUUUAACAAAUUUGAAUUUUUUGGCAGUCUUAAACCUUUCAGAAAACCAAUUUGAGGGAGUAAUACCUACAGGACGACAAUUUAACACAUUUGGAAAUGAUUCUUAUGUUGGAAAUCCAAUGCUUUGUGGAUUUCCAUUGUCAAAAUCCUGCAAUAAGGAUAAAGAAAGGCCACCUUGUUCAACACUUGAUAAAGAAGAAUCAGGAUUUGGAUGGAAAGUCAUUGUAGUGGGGUAUGCAUGUGGGAUGAUCUUUGGAAUAAUAUUGGGUUGUAAUGUUUUUUUCGCUGGAAAACUCCAAUGGCUUGCAAGGCUUGUUGAAGUUGUGUUAAAUGUGUGAGACUCACAAGAAUAAACAAGAAAAACCUUAUACCAAGGGUUGGAUGAGGAAUUAAUGUACUUUUAGUUUAAUAUGGUUGUUUUUUUAUGUGCCUAUAUGUUUUUUGUAGUUUUAAUUUCUCUUUACGUUAUCUUUUGCGAUGAAUUUUAUGUUAUGUUAUGCUCAACAUGUUGUAAUAUAUACCAAUGUUCUGUGGAUUUCCUUUGUCAAAAUCCUAUAAUGAGGAUAAAGAAAAGCCACAAUGUUCAACACUCGAUAAAGAAGAAUCAGGAUUUGGAUGGAAAGUCAUUGUAGUGAGAUAUGCACGUGGGAUGAGCUUUGGAAUAAUGUUGGGUUGUAAUGUUUUCUUUGUUGGAAAACUACAAUGGCUUGCAAGACUUGUUUGUGUUAAAUGUGAGACUUACAAGAACAAACAUAGCAAAUCAUGCAAAUGGUUGGAGAAGAAAUUAAUGCACUUUUAAUUUAAUAUGGUUAUUUUUUUACGUGCCCAUAUUUUUUUUUUGUAGUUUUAAUUUGUUUUUACUCUAUCUUAUUCAAUAAAUUUCAUAUUAGGUUCAACAUGACGUAAAAUGUCAAACCUUCAUAUGUAUAAAGGUAAAAUCUAACAUUCAAUCUUCGAUCAACAUUUUCCUGGAUGCAUAUAACCUAUAUGUUGACAUGAUUAUGCAAAAUUGUCUUUUUGCCUUUUGGAUUUAAUAUACUCAGAAUUGUGUCUUGUUAAUACAAAAGAUGUAUUUUAUUUGGGAGAGAAUUUGGGAGAGAAUCCCUCUUUCGAUCAAACCUAUGCACGAAUGAAGUGUGUGUAAAACAGGAGACGCUCUUCACUUUUGCCAGCAAAACGCUGCAUUUUAUUUACUCAGCAAGAAGGGCUUCGGCCCAUUCAUUUCAACAGCGCUGGCCCAUUUUUUGUAUAAACUCAUUUCUAUCUUGUUCCUGCAUUAACUAUAUAUGUAUAAUUAUGUGUACACGUAUUCAACUUUUUAAAUUGAGAAUGUGUAUAAAUAUUUUCCUUUAUAAAAUUGAAAUAGGAGUUUAAAUCUCAUUGAGUAAAAGUAAAAAAAAUCAAAUAUUAUAUAAAUCUACUAUUUUCAAAAAUAAAUAAAUAAAUAUAUAUAUAUAUAUAUAUAUAUAUAUAUAUAUAUAUAAAUAUAUAUAUAUAAUUAUAAGUUAAAAAAGAUAAAUAAUAGAAGUGAGCUAACCAUUUAAAACAUUUCAAAUAUGAAUUAAUUAAUAAUAGCAAUGAAACUCAAAUAAGAAAUCUAAUUGUAUUAAAAGUUACUUAAAAAAGAAGAAGAUACAAUUGUUUAUGAUCAAAGACCAUCUCCUAAAUGACAUUUUACUACAAUAAGGUAUAUGUAGAAUUAAUCUAUCUUAUAUUGAAUAUACACGUAGUAUUGUAUUUAUAAUAUAAAAAAUAUGGACUAAGCUCGAAUGUAAAUAAGAAUUAAUAAAUAAUUAACUAAAGAUAAAAGAUAAAAAUAACAUAAAGAUGAUAUAUUUAACACUUCCCACAAGAUAGUACAUUCAAACCCUAUGUACCAAGCUUAUUACUAAUACCACGCUAAUUUUGAUUUAAUGUCUCUAAUUCGCGGGAUUCUGCACAUUUUCUUAAUUAUAACUAAACAAAAAAAAUGUAGUUUGGUUAAAUCCAAUUUAUUCUUCGCAAUAAACAACUCACACACACACACUCCCUUUCCAAAAAAACCAGUAGACCUAACACUACACUAAAAUUUAUUGGAUUUGUUGCUAAAAUAUCGGUAUCAAACACAAACUUCGGCGGGCGGAUGGCCAGGAGCCCAAACAAUGGAAAGAAAAGUCGCAUGUGCUCAAAUUGGCACAAAGAGAAGUUGAUGCAAGGAGCUUCGGAAACAAAGUUGUUGGUUCAGUUGAAAGUUGACUCGAGAUUCCCUUUUUCCCUAGUUCUUUCAUUUUCUUUCUUUUUUUCGCUUUUCUGUCUUUUCCUUUCCCUAUAUAAACUACUUAGAUUAGGUAAUUACUGUUUGAAAAAGCUUUCUUAGAGGAUUCGACAGGCCGUGAGGUUUCUCGGUUCAACUUGUAAUUUCAGUUAUGUUAUUUCUUUUUGCAAAAUAUUAUGCUUCUUGUUCUUUGUAAUUUACUUUUUCUUGCAAUUUAGAUUUUCGACGCUAUUAUUCUCUGUCUUCUGCGAUAUCUGUUAUGUGUUAUUCAGAGCUUAUGGAAUUUAGGUUCGAGCACGCUUCAAAGAUAAGUCUCUUUCAUUCUAUUUUGCUUUGAUUCACUCUUAUGUUUCCAAUUCAACCUAUAUCCCUUUUCAUCUUUUUGAAAAAAUCAUGCAUUGUAACGCCCCAGCAACUUACAGGGACGACUGACUGUCCCCACACAUCAACACGAGGCUUUCUAGUGUGCUUUGUCAUCACUCACACUUUCCGAGAAAACUUCCCCGAAGGUCACCCAUCCUAAAUUACUCCAGGCUAAGCACGCUUAACCAUGAAAUUCUUAUGGGUCAGGCUACCAAAAAGCAAAUUUGUUUUUUGGUAGCGUAACCCAUAAGAACUUCAUGGUUAAGCGUGCUUAGCUUGGAGUAAUUUGAGAUGGGUGACCUUCUGGGAAGUUUUCCCGGAAAGUGUGUGAGUGAGGACAAAGCACACUAGAAAGCCUCGUGUUGAUGUGUGGGGACAUUCAGCAGUCCUUGUAAGUUGCCAGGGCGUUACAGAUUGUAUCAGAGCCUAGCCUCUCCUAGUACGGUGUGGUUCGAGGACGAACCAGAGCGGAAGCUGGUGGGCAUGUGACGCCCGGGCACUGACGAGGGCGAGGAGUGCGGCUCCUGGCAGGCUUCGAGUGGAAGGCGCACAUGGACGAAUCGAACAUACACCUGAAUGAGAGGGAUCUAGAGACUGUAUAGGUAUGAGACUAUACAAGAUAGCUUAAAGGAAUUGAUUUGGCUACUCAUAUCAACAAAUGCAUUUGCUUUUCGGUAGCCUAACCCAUAAGAACUUCAUGGUUAAGCGUGCUUAACCUGAAGUAAUUUGGGAUGGGUUCCCUAAGCUCUGAAUAACACAUAUCGCAGAAGAAAGAGAAUAAUAGAGUCGAAAAUCUAAAUUGCAAGAAAAAGUAAAUUACAAAGAACAAGAAGCAUAAUAUUUUGCAAAAAAAAAAGAGACUGUCGAAUCCUCUAAGAAAGCUUUUUCAAACAGUAAUUUGGAAAACCUAUUCUAAGUAGUUUAUAUAGGAAAAGGGAAAGACAGAAAAACGAAAAAAAGAAAGAAAAUGAAAGAACUAGAGAAAAGGGGAAGUCUCGAGUCAACUUUCAACUGAACCAACAACUUCGUUUUCGAAGCUCCUUGCAUCAAUUUCUCUUUCUACCGAUUUGAGCACAUGCGGCUUUUCUUUCCUUUGUUUGGGUCAUGGCCAUCUGCCGAAAGUUUACUUUAAAUACAUUUCAUCAAACUAACAUUGUUAUGUUGUUACUAAUUUACAAUUGAUUAAUUAAUUCUAUUUAUCUUUGAGCAUCCUUGAAUCAAUCAAGGUUUGUUUAGUUUACAUGUUAUAUGUUAUAUAUCUUUGUUAGUUGAACCACCGUUAGAAGUGAACUUUAAGCUUAACUCAACUAUACAAAACCGACUUGUAAGGUGAGGUUUGCAGUCACUUAUAUACACUUAAAUGGCCUCAUCUCUAGUCAAUGUGGGACUUCCAACAUUCAAAAUUAUAUAAAAUACCCUAAACUUCUACCUAUUUUGUUCUCUCUGCAAUGAAAUAAAAUUUAGAAUUAAGGUGGAUAUGAUUGGUGUUGUUAUUGUGAUGGGUAAUGAAAUUCCAAAACUAAAUUCAUUAUAUAAAAAAAUAUAUGAAGGACUGACUUUGUCAGAUGGUGGAGAUUUUCGCCACAAACUGUUAUUUUCUUGCUCAAUUACAUGUUGUCAAUAUUUCAAGAAUGAACAUAAAUCUUACUUUUAUUUUUGUUUUUGUUGGCAUCACAGAAAUCUAGUCUUAAAACAAUAUAUAUAUAUAUAUAUAUAUAUAUAUAUAUAUAUAUAUAUAUAUAUAUAAUUUUAGUAUAUUUUGUAUACAUAUCAUCUUCAAAAAUAUUGUAUAUUUAUUUUAGCAAUCUUGUAAGAAUAAUGGACAUCGAUAAUUUUGAUUUAAAUUUUUACGUAAAUUAGAAGUUGGAAAAUUGUGACGAUAUUUUUGUUCCUUUGCAAGUUUCUACAUGUAAGGAUAAGAGUUAGGACCACAUUCAUUCUAUAUUCACAGUGAGAACAAGUAUUAUUAAUAUUUUAAUUUUAGUUAUAUAUAUCACCACAUAUGAGGCUAAUAAAUGGUUAAUUAUGUAUUUCUUAGAAUUUUUUUUCUCUCAUAUUGUAUCACACUUGAGUAGGUAAACUCAAAUUAUAAAUUGAUGUAAUUGAACUUUUCGUGCUAAUAACGUGUUUACGAUUUUAUUCUACACUCUUUAUUCCAAAACUGACAUGUUAAGAUGGAUUAUUUAAUCAUGUUUCUUGUAAAGGUUUUGGUUCAUUAUCCCCUUGUAAGAAUAAAAAUCACUUUUGGAUGUUUAGAAGAAUCUCUUGGAGGUUGCUAGGGUGUUAGGAAGCUUUUUAAGUUCUCUUUCGGUCUUUUCCUUCAUUCAUGAUAUUUUUUCAUUUCUAUGUCAUUAUUUGAUUUCUAUGUUUAAUGUUUAUUUUGGUUUGACUAUCCAUAGCUUGAUAUUUGGUUCAUUGGAUGUUGGAAAACAUAUUUUAAACCUAUAACUAAAAUUGAAUACUUAAUGUAGCUUGUAUAUAGGGAUAGAACAUUAUUUGGUAGCAACCUUAAGACUCUUAAAUUUAAUUCAUGGUUGCUUGUUGAAGAUUCAAAAAAUUGAAACCAUAGAAAGUCAUUAGAAAUAAUAAGAUUUAAAUAAACUUGUGAGUUGAUUUUAACUUAAAUAUCAAAUUGAGAUGUUUGAAAAUGCAUGAAAAUGAAGUGAAUGAAAUAUAGUCUUAACAAUUAUAUAUACUCUGUUAAAUUUCUGUUAUAUAUCUUUAAUAAAAAUACAAAAAAAAAAGUCUCUUAGUGUUUUUGUAAACUUUUGUUGCUGUGAAGUGUGAGAAUUGUCAUUUGUUGCAAAAAUCCUUAUAAAAAGAAUUUUAGUUAUUAUUUACUAUGUGCAAUCCAUGUACUUACCAUUUUUUACUAACAAUAGUUCGAUAAGGUACAUAAAGAGUUCAAAAAGCUCCAUGAAAAACCCAUAUAACUUGAUGGAGAAUAUAUAUAUAUAAUUCAAAUAGUUUGAUAACACAUCUAAAAAGAUACAUAAAAAUAAAUUACAAUUAUGUAAAUAUCAAAUUAGAGUACCACAUAACACUUAUAUAUAAAAGUCAAAAAAAUGAUGAAAUGCGUUAGAUUGAAUGGAAUUUAUGAUUUCAUUUUCUAAAAUGUAAUAUACCAUUUGAACAAAAUUAAGAAAAAAAAAGUGUAAUCACAUUUAUCAUAGGGAAAAAAUACGUUAGAGAUCAAAAUAAAUUUGAUAGAUAUUGAACAAGUUAAACAAUUAAGAGAGAGAAUAUUUUUGUUUUUUUGUUUUUUUUAAAAUAAAGAUUCUUUAAAUGAAACAAAACACUAAUGGUUAAAAGGGAAUAGAUAAUGAGUUUUUUUAUGUUAUCUAAUAAACUGAGGAUUUAUGUAAUUAAACAUUUGAAAUUGAGAGCUAAAAAAUAAAUAAAUAAAAACAUUAAAAAAGGUGCAUCAAUAGUAAAACAUGUAUUCUAUACAUUAUUUAAUUCAAUGAUGUUGAUGUUUGUAUUUCUUUAAAUAUGUUAUACCAUUUCAAAGAAACCACAUAAAGAGAAAAUAUAUAUUUAAGAUUGUGAUAAAACGAGAAACACCGUGAAAAUACGAGUGAGCUUUACGAAUUUUUAAUCAAUCAAACAAUUAAGAGAGAAUAAAAAGAAUUAUAGUAAACAAAAAUUACAAAACUAAAAAUAAAAUAAAAUAAUAAAUAUAAGUUGUUUAAAUUACCUAUAAAUUAUAAGUAUUUUAGUAUUAUAAUAAUUAUGUGUAUGAGGAUGGAGACACGUGUGAAGAGAGAGACAUGUGGAUAUCAUUUCCAAUAAGUAGAUAUGUACUUGAUUUUAUUAUUCUAGACAAAACUUAAAUAAGAAGAAAACUCAAAAUUGAGAUGAGUGUAUGUAUCAUUUCGUACACUUAAAACCUCUAAAUUCUACAUUUAUAUUUCGUGUUAAACAUAUUAGAUUAUAAAUAGUCAUAUAUUCUCUUCAUAAAUAAUUUUUUAUAUAAUUGGAUUUUAUAGAGACUUUAAAGCUAUUUAAAAAGUAGAGUUUUCUGUGUUGAGAAGAUAAUAAAAAUAAAAAAUAAAUAAGCAGAAGAAAAAUCCAUAUCAAAAUUUUCCUGUAUAUUUUUAUCAUUAACCUUGCUUAAUAAAAUUAUAUAAAUAUCUAUUAUUUAAUUAAACUUUUUGUUUUGUUUUAAGAACACUCUAUUCAACUGUUUUUUUUUUAAACUUAAUUUGAAGUGCCUGAAAAUAAAUUUGAUUUGAGAUAAAGUUUAUGAUUUUGGAUAUCCUAUUCUCGUAGGAAUGGUAAAGAUUGAUGUUUUUUUUUUUUUUUUUUUUUUUUUUUUUUUUUUUUUUUUUUUUUACAAUUUUUUUUUUUUUUGCAAGAUUCAUAAACUUUUGCUACGAUAUUUUUUUAUUUUGAAAGAUUGAUGAUUUAAUUUUUAACUUUUGUUACGAUACUUUUUUAAAGAUUCAUAAACUUUAACGUAAAAUAGAAGUUGGAAAAUUGUGACAUAGUCAGUUGUCAUUUGUAUUAGAAAGACUGACUUUAGACCUUUAAAUGGGUGCAAGACUUGGAAUUUUCAUACACAAGACUUGCUUUUCUUUUUGGAAAUUGGUAGGCAUCUUCCCCAGAUUAAGACUUCAAUAUAAAAUAGGAAAAAUAAAAAAAUUAAUAUGAGAAAUUUCAGAACAUAAAAAUUGAGGAACUAGUUCAAUGAUAUACAAAUUAAAUUAAGUAUUAUUAAUUUUCCUGUAAAUUAAACAAAUAUCAUAUAAAAAAUUACAAUAAUAAAAAAGAAGAGUGGCUAUAGCAAUGUCUGCAGCCGAUGAGAUUCUUAUAUAUAGAUUACACUCAAUGAAUUGGCUGCAAUCAAAUCCAUAUUUCUUCGGUAUAAGAAAAAUGGGAUGGGUUCGACUUUCCUACUUCUUGAUCUUUCAUUGUUUGCUUCUUCAUUUCCCUUCUUACAAUUGUUUGUUGUGCAACCCUCGUGACAAAUCUGCCUUACUACAAUUCAAAAACUCAUUUCUUACUAACAUUUCAUCUUAUGUUGCUCUGUUUACAGAAGAUCUUUGUUCCUCGUAUUCUUCAAAUAUGAAAUCUUGGAAUAACUUGACAGAUUGUUGUGGGUGGGAUGGGGUCACGUGUGACAUCAGAUCAGGUUAUGUGAUCGGUCUCAACUUUUCCUGCAUUGAUCUUAGAGGUGAGCUACUUGGUCCUAAUAGUUCAAUUUUCAGUCUAAGACACCUUCAACAACUUACUAUUGCUUUUAGUGACUUUUCUGGAUCUUCGAUACACUCUACAAUCGGUGACCUUGUCAACCUCACCCAUCUAACUUUACUUAACUUUGGAAUGACUGGUGAUGUUCCCUCCACAAUCUCCCACUUGUCAAAGUUAGAAUAUCUUCUUAUAGGUAGCAUCAACUCGUUACUUAAUGAUCCCAUCAAAAGCUACUCCAAAAUGAGACUUGAUGAUUACACAUGGAACAGACUCAUUCACAACGCAACUAAUUUGAGAGAGAUUUAUUUGGAUGAAGUGAACAUGUCUUCUGUCGGAGAGAGCUCUUUGUCAUUGUUGACCAAUCUAUCAUCCUCUUUGCUUUCUCUCGUUCUCUAUGACACCCAAAUCAAAGGGAAAUUGCCCACGGCCAUCCUCCGCUUACCCAAUCUUCAAGAAAUAGAUCUGUCAUUCAAUGAAAACGUGAGAGGUGAACUUCCAAACUCCAACUGGACUACUCCACUAAUAAUUUUAAUUCUCCGUCAUACUGCUUUCUCAGGAUACAUUCCCGAUUCUAUUGGUCACUUAAAGUCUCUUUACAUACUACAACUUAACAGUUGCAAUUUUCAUGGAUUUAUUCCACCAUCAUUAUUUAAUCUUACUCAACUUUCUCAUUUAGAUUUAUCAAAUAAUAAAUUAGUUGGCCCAAUUCCAACCCAAAUCACCACACUUUCUGAAUUAUUGAUCCUAAAUUUGAAUGAUAACAUAUUAAACGGAUCAAUUCCUCGUUGGUGUUACUUUUUGCCUUCCUUAUCGUUCUUGUAUCUUAGAAACAACCAGUUCACAGGGUCAAUUGGUGAAUUCUCAACUAAUUCUUUGCAAUAUUUGUCUCUUUCUAAUAACAAACUGCAAGGUAAUUUUCCAAAUUCAAUAUUUCAACUCCAAAAUCUUACUUUUUUAAAUUUGUCAUCAAAUGAUUUGAGUGGUGUCGUGGACUUUCAUCAAUUUUCAAAGCUUAAAACUAUUUUUUAUUUGGAUCUUUCUCACAAUAGUUUGCUCUCACUAAAAUUUGAAAAUAAUUUUGAUUGUAUCUUACCCAACCUUCAAUACUUAUUUUUAUCUUCAAGUAACGUAAGUAGUUUCCCAAAAUUCAUAGCACCAAAUCUGGAAGAUUUAGAUCUUUCUCAUAACAGAAUUCGUGGAAGCAUUCCCAAAUGGUUUCAUGAGAACC
This 10751-nucleotide long non-coding RNA is filed under the name Vigna radiata. Its description in RNAcentral is "long non-coding RNA (VRAD_LNC004426)". The record is from RNAcentral. Lineage: Eukaryota; Viridiplantae; Streptophyta; Magnoliopsida; Fabales; Fabaceae.